Molecule: ribosomal RNA, 253 nt
Filed under: uncultured bacterium
Lineage: Bacteria
Description: partial 16S ribosomal RNA
Rfam family: Bacterial small subunit ribosomal RNA
Source: RNAcentral
UACGGAGGGUGCGAGCGUUGUCCGGAAUCAUUGGGCGUAAAGGGUGCGCAGGUGGCCAAGUGUGUUAGGCGUGAAAGCCCGGGGCUUAACCCCGGAAUUGCACCUAAAACUACUCGGCUAGAGCAUUGGAGAGGGGAGCAGAAUUCAUGGUGUAGCGGUGAAAUGCGCAGAUAUCAGGAGGAACACCGGUGGCGAAGGCGGUUCUCUGGGCAUUACCUGACGCUGAGGAGCGAAAGUGUGGGGAGCGAACAGG